RNAcentral lists this ribosomal RNA (472 nucleotides) under uncultured bacterium. Its description in RNAcentral is "partial 16S ribosomal RNA". It matches the Rfam family "Bacterial small subunit ribosomal RNA", at positions 28 to 507 of the family's 1533-position model. The record is from RNAcentral.
GACGAACGCUGGCGGCGUGCUUAACACAUGCAAGUCGAACGCUGAAGCUUGGUGCUUGCACUGGGUGGAUGAGUGGCGCACGGGUGAGUAAUACGUGAGUAACCUGCCCUUGACUCUGGGAUAAGCCUGGGAAACUGGGUCUAAUACUGGAUACGACAUGCCACUGCAUGGUGGUGUGUGGAAAGGGUUUUACUGGUUUUGGAUGGGCUCACGGCCUAUCAGCUUGUUGGUGGGGUAAUGGCCUACCAAGGCGACGACGGGUAGCCGGCCUGAGAGGGUGACCGGCCACACUGGGACUGAGACACGGCCCAGACUCCUACGGGAGGCAGCAGUGGGGAAUAUUGCACAAUGGGCGGAAGCCUGAUGCAGCGACGCCGCGUGAGGGAUGACGGCCUUCGGGUUGUAAACCGCUUUCAGCACGGACGAAGCGUGAGUGACGGUACGUGCAGAAGAAGCGCCGGCUAACUACGUG